This 510-nucleotide ribosomal RNA is filed under the name uncultured bacterium. RNAcentral describes it as "partial 16S ribosomal RNA". It matches the Rfam family "Bacterial small subunit ribosomal RNA", at positions 28 to 507 of the family's 1533-position model. The record is from RNAcentral.
GACGAACGCUGGCGGCGUGCUUAACACAUGCAAGUCGAACGAAGAGCGAUGGAAGCUUGCUUCUAUCAAUCUUAGUGGCGAACGGGUGAGUAACGCGUAAUCAACCUGCCCUUCAGAGGGGGACAACAGUUGGAAACGACUGCUCAUACCGCAUACGAUCUAAUCUCGGCAUCGAGGAUAGAUGAAAGGUGGCCUCUACAUGUAAGCUAGCACUGAAGGAGGGGAGUGCGUCUGAUUAGCUAGUUGGCGGGGUAACGGCCCACCAAGGCGAUGAUCAGUAGCCGGUCUGGGAGGAGGAAUGGCCACCUUGGGACGGUGACACGGCCCAGACGCCUUGGGGUGGCAGCAGUGGUGAAUCUUCCGCAAUCGGCGACAGUCUGACGGAGCAACGCCGCGGGAGUGAUGACGGCCGUCGGGUUGUAAAGCUCUGUUAAUCGGGACGAAAGGCCUUCUUGCGAAUAGUGAGAAGGAUUGACGGUACCGGAAUAGAAAGCCACGGCUAACUACGUG